AUGAUCUUCACUCUUGCAAUUUCCCCCCUUCAUUGGCUAUUUGAUAAGGCUUCAGAUGCUCAGCUACUCACUCCACUCCGCUUGCCACCCUCCCAGCUUCGAGUGAGCCUGUACGCCGACGAUGCUGCAUUGUUCAUCUCGCCCAAGGCAACCGACAUCAAGAUCACCAAGGAGAUCCUUGGUUGUUUUGGCUCUGCCUCUGGCCUUGUUUGCAAUAUACAGAAGAGUGGUUCCUUCCCAAUUUGUUGUGAAGACAUCGACCUAGUUUCACUCUUGCAGCAGCUCCCGGUACCCGUUCUUCAAUUCCCUUGCACCUAUCUCGGGCUUCCCCUGCACUACAAGAACAUCACUCGAGCAGACAUCCAGCCCAUCCUUCAUAAGCUUGCGUCCAAGCUCCAAAAGAACUUCCUUUGGAGAUCGAAGCCCGACGCCGAGGGAGGACUUGCUUUGGUGAACUGGUCCACCGUCUGCCGCCCUAAGAGCCUGGGUGGACUCGGCGUCAUUGACCUUAAGCGCUUUGGCAGGGCCUUGCGCCUGCGAUGGAAAUGGCUUGAAUGGCGCAACCAAGAUAGGCCUUGGAUUGGCUCUCCCAUUCCCUAUGACAAGGACGACCUCGCCUUAUUUGCUGUGGCAACUAACAUCUCCAUCGGUUCAGGAAUGCGUGUCAAGUUCUGGCAUGAUCGUUGGCUUGCCGGUGAUGCCCUGGGCCAGAUCGCGCCGGACUUACUUCGUCUAUGGUACAGGAAAAACCUCACUGUCAAGAAGGCACUAAAUGGGCAGCAUUGGCUUUCAGGUCUGCAACGUAUUUCCUCUGAGUCUGAGAUGAGGCAGUUCACCAAUCUCUGGGCAAGGCUGCGCAACAUUAUUCUUGACCCAGCGACGCAUGAUGAGAUCACGUGGAACUGCAACGCUGCUGCAGCCUACACCACAAGCUCGGCCUACAGCUGCCAAUUCCUUGGCUCCUUUUCCGUCGCCAACUACGACAAGCUCUGGAAGUCCAAGGUCGAGGCCAAAUGUAGGUUCUUCUUCUGGCUCUUUCUCAAAGGCAAGAUACUCACCAAUGACAACCUGGCCAAGCGGGGAAUUUCCCAUGGCCCCAAGUGCGCCCUAUGUGAUCAGUCUGAGGAAUCGGAGCUACAUCUCAUCAUCCAGUGCCCGUUUGCAUGA
This 1167-nucleotide ribosomal RNA is filed under the name Triticum aestivum (bread wheat). RNAcentral's name for it is "partial small subunit ribosomal RNA". The record is from RNAcentral. Lineage: Eukaryota; Viridiplantae; Streptophyta; Magnoliopsida; Poales; Poaceae.